RNAcentral lists this ribosomal RNA (928 nucleotides) under Acinetobacter lwoffii. RNAcentral describes it as "bacterial SSU rRNA". It matches the Rfam family "Bacterial small subunit ribosomal RNA", at positions 1 to 898 of the family's 1533-position model. Lineage: Bacteria; Pseudomonadati; Pseudomonadota; Gammaproteobacteria; Moraxellales; Moraxellaceae. The record is from RNAcentral.
AGAGGNUNAGNNNGNUUUNANNNNCCNCUGCUCAGAUUGAACGCUGGCGGCAGGCUUAAUGACGCUGCUAGUUUGUGCNCCGCGCGCAGAUCGGGUGCUUGUUCCUGGUUCCUAGCGGCGGACGGGUGAGUAAUGCUUAGGAAUCUGCCUAUUAGUGGGGGACAACGUUCCGAAAGGGACGCUAAUACCGCAUACGUCCUACGGGAGAAAGCAGGGGAUCUUCGGACCUUGCGCUAAUAGAUGAGCCUAAGUCGGAUUAGCUAGUUGGUGGGGUAAAGGCCUACCAAGGCGACGAUCUGUAGCGGGUCUGAGAGGAUGAUCCGCCACACUGGGACUGAGACACGGCCCAGACUCCUACGGGAGGCAGCAGUGGGGAAUAUUGGACAAUGGGGGGAACCCUGAUCCAGCCAUGCCGCGUGUGUGAAGAAGGCCUUUUGGUUGUAAAGCACUUUAAGCGAGGAGGAGGCUUACCUGGUUAAUACCUGGGAUAAGUGGACGUUACUCGCAGAAUAAGCACCGGCUAACUCUGUGCCAGCAGCCGCGGUAAUACAGAGGGUGCAAGCGUUAAUCGGAUUUACUGGGCGUAAAGCGCGCGUAGGUGGCUAAUUAAGUCAAAUGUGAAAUCCCCGAGCUUAACUUGGGAAUUGCAUUCGAUACUGGUUAGCUAGAGUAUGGGAGAGGAUGGUAGAAUUCCAGGUGUAGCGGUGAAAUGCGUAGAGAUCUGGAGGAAUACCGAUGGCGAAGGCAGCCAUCUGGCCUAAUACUGACACUGAGGUGCGAAAGCAUGGGGAGCAAACAGGAUUAGAUACCCUGGUAGUCCAUGCCGUAAACGAUGUCUACUAGCCGUUGGGGCCCUUUAGGUUUUAGUGGCGCCGCUAACGCGAUAAGUAGAACGCGGCUAGAGUGAUUGUACGGUCGCAAGACUAAA